UCGGUAUUGCCAAAUGUUCGGUUGGCAUGGUAUGGCAAUGGUAAUAGCCACUUUGUUUUGGGAUAAAAUUUGUUUUGGCUUUUUUAACCCAAUUCAAGGGAAAAACUUUUUUAUUGUACCUUUAUCUCAUACUUUGUAGCCUAAAUUCAUCUAUUAUUCAUCAUUCACAAUUCACACACACAAUAAUUCAAAUGAUGCAUCAAGAUUCAUGAUGAAAAUUAAGCUUACAAUCCAAAUAGAAGCUACGAACCAAAACAAAUAGAAGUUUCCCCCAUGCUAAAGAUCUUCUCUAUCCCCCAUUGGUUCAAACACACUUCUAGAACUUUCCCAAUGUCUUCUCUCUUAUGACCCGUG
This 354-nucleotide long non-coding RNA is filed under the name Malus domestica (apple). Its description in RNAcentral is "long non-coding RNA (MDOM_LNC009051)". The record is from RNAcentral. Lineage: Eukaryota; Viridiplantae; Streptophyta; Magnoliopsida; Rosales; Rosaceae.